GAGUUUGAUCAUGGCUCAGAACGAACGCUGGCGGCAGGCCUAAUACAUGCAAGUCGAGCGCGCCCUUCGGGGUGAGCGGCGGACGGGUGAGUAACGCGUGGGAAUAUGCCCUUCUCUAAGGAAUAGCCUCUGGAAACGGAGAGUAAUACCUUAUACGCCCUUUGGGGGAAAGAUUUAUCGGAGAAGGAUUAGCCCGCGUUAGAUUAGGUAGUUGGUGGGGUAAUGGCCUACCAAGCCUACGAUCUAUAGCUGGUUUGAGAGGAUGAUCAGCCACACUGGGACUGAGACACGGCCCAGACUCCUACGGGAGGCAGCAGUAGGGAAUCUUAGACAAUGGGGGCAACCCUGAUCUAGCCAUGCCGCGUGUGUGAUGAAGGCCCUAGGGUCGUAAAGCACUUUCGCCAGAGAUGAUAAUGACAGUAUCUGGUAAAGAAACCCCGGCUAACUCCGUGCCAGCAGCCGCGGUAAUACGGAGGGGGUUAGCGUUGUUCGGAAUUACUGGGCGUAAAGCGCACGUAGGCGGAUUAGUAAGUUAGAGGUGAAAUUCCAGGGCUCAACCCUGGAACUGCCUUUAAUACUGCUAGUCUUGAGUUCGAGAGAGGUAAGUGGAAUUCCGAGUGUAGAGGUGAAAUUCGUAGAUAUUCGGAGGAACACCAGUGGCGAAGGCACUGUACUGGGCUUUUCCUGACGCUCAGAGACGAAAGCUGAAGGAGUGAUUAGGAUUAGAUACCCUAGUAAUUUCAGCCGUAAACGAUGAAAACUCACUGUCGAGCCAAUAUAUGGAGCGGUGGUCAAGCUAACGCGUGAAGUUUUCCGCCUGGGGAUUACGCUUGCAAAAGUGAAACUCAAAGGAAUUGACGGGGACCCGCACAAGCGGUGGAGUAUGUGGUUUAAUUCGAUGCAACGCGAAAAACCUUACCAGGGUUUGAAAUAAUUUCAAAACUUCUUGAAAGAGAAGCCUCCUUCGGGAUGGAAUUACAGGUGGUGCAUGGCUGUCGUCAGCUCGUGUUGUGAAAUGUCAAGUUAAGUCUUGUAACGAGCGCAACCCAUGUCUCUUGUUGCUGUUUACAGUGCUUAAGAGAAACUGCCGAUCAACAUCGGAGGAAGGUGUGGAUGAUGUCAAGUCAGCAUGCCCUUUACAUCCUGGGCUACACACGUACUACAAUGGUCGAGACAAAGGGUCGCUAACCUGCGAAGGUAUGCCAAUCUCAUAAACUCGAUCUCAGUUCGGAUUGUACUCUGCAACUCGAGUACAUGAAGGUGGAAUCGCUAGUAAUCGCUGGUCAGCAUACAGCGGUGAAUACGUUCCCGGGUCUUGUACACACUGCCCGUCACACCAUGGAAGUCGACCCUUCCCUAAGUCGUUACUCGAACCUGUAAAGGACGAGGACGCCGAAGGCAGAGUUGGUGACUAGGGUGAAGUCGUAACAAGGUAACC
RNAcentral lists this ribosomal RNA (1438 nucleotides) under uncultured marine bacterium. Its description in RNAcentral is "16S ribosomal RNA". It matches the Rfam family "Bacterial small subunit ribosomal RNA". The record is from RNAcentral.